This 254-nucleotide ribosomal RNA is filed under the name uncultured bacterium. Its description in RNAcentral is "partial 16S ribosomal RNA". It matches the Rfam family "Bacterial small subunit ribosomal RNA", at positions 524 to 776 of the family's 1533-position model. The record is from RNAcentral.
CACGUAGGGGGCAAGCGUUGUCCGGAUUCAUUGGGCGUAAAGAGCUCGUAGGCGGCUCAGUAAGUCAGGUGUGAAACCUCCAGGCUCAACCUGGAGACGCCACCUGAUACUGCUGUGGCUAGAGUCCGGUAGGGGAGCGUGGAAUUCCUGGUGUAGCGGUGAAAUGCGCAGAUAUCAGGAGGAACACCGACGGCGAAGGCGGCGCUCUGGGCCGGAACUGACGCUGAGGAGCGAAAGCGUGGGUAGCAAACAGG